This 208-nucleotide unclassified non-coding RNA is filed under the name soil metagenome. RNAcentral describes it as "partial contains 5.8S ribosomal RNA, internal transcribed spacer 2, and large subunit ribosomal RNA". The record is from RNAcentral.
AACGCACGAGACCUGCGGACCUGCGGAAGGAUCAUUACAGGAUUCGCAAGUCUCCCGUAAACCCCUGUGAACAUACCUAUACUCGUUGCCUCGGCGGGUGCUCCGGUGCGAACCGGGGCGCCAGCCCGCCGGCGGCUCGCUACUCUGUAUUGAAUACUGCAUCUCCGAGCAAUUGCAAACGAAUCAAAACUUUUAGCAAUGGAUCUCU